GACGAACGCUGGCGGCGUGCUUAACACAUGCAAGUCGAACGGAAAGGCCCUGCUUUUGUGGGGUGCUCGAGUGGCGAACGGGUGAGUAACACGUAAGUAACCUGCCCUUGACUUUGGGAUAACUUCAGGAAACUGGGGCUAAUACCGGAUAGGAGCUCCUGCUGCAUGGUGGGGGUUGGAAAGUUUCGGCGGUUGGGGAUGGACUCGCGGCUUAUCAGCUUGUUGGUGGGGUAGUGGCUUACCAAGGCUUUGACGGGUAGCCGGCCUGAGAGGGUGACCGGCCACAUUGGGACUGAGAUACGGCCCAGACUCCUACGGGAGGAAGCAGUGGGGAAUAUUGCACAAUGGGCGGAAGCCUGAUGCAGCAACGCCGCGUGCGGGAUGACGGCCUUCGGGUUGUAAACCGCUUUCGCCUGUGACGAAGCGUGAGUGACGGUAAUGGGUAAAGAAGCACCGGCUAACUACGUG
Molecule: ribosomal RNA, 468 nt
Filed under: uncultured bacterium
Lineage: Bacteria
Description: partial 16S ribosomal RNA
Rfam family: Bacterial small subunit ribosomal RNA
Source: RNAcentral